RNAcentral lists this ribosomal RNA (338 nucleotides) under uncultured Chloroflexota bacterium. RNAcentral's name for it is "bacterial SSU rRNA". It matches the Rfam family "Bacterial small subunit ribosomal RNA", at positions 28 to 351 of the family's 1533-position model. Lineage: Bacteria; Bacillati; Chloroflexota. The record is from RNAcentral.
GAUGAACGCUGGCGGCGUGCCUAAUACAUGCAAGUCGGACGGAGUGUUAGCAAUAGCACUUAGUGGCGAACGGGUGAGUAACGCGUUGGUGACCUGCCCUAAAGAAGGGAACAACCUCGGGAAACUGAGGCUAAUACCCUAUGUGCUUCUUAAGAUUAGAUGCUUUUGAAGUAAAGGUUCUGUGGACGAAAGGCCACGGUGCCGCUUUAGGAGGGGCCUGCGUCCCAUCAGCUAGUUGGUAGGGUAAUGGCCUACCAAGGCGAUGACGGGUAGGGGACCUGAGAGGGUGACCCCCCACACUAGCACUGAAACACGGGCUAGACACCUACGGGUGGCAG